RNAcentral lists this ribosomal RNA (253 nucleotides) under uncultured bacterium. RNAcentral describes it as "partial 16S ribosomal RNA". It matches the Rfam family "Bacterial small subunit ribosomal RNA", at positions 524 to 776 of the family's 1533-position model. The record is from RNAcentral.
UACGGGGGGGGCAAGCGUUGUUCGGAAUUACUGGGCGUAAAGGGCUCGUAGGUGGCCAACUAAGUCAGACGUGAAAUCCCUCGGCUUAACCGGGGAACUGCGUCUGAUACUGGAUGGCUUGAGAUUGGGAGAGGGACGCGGAAUUCCAGGUGUAGCGGUGAAAUGCGUAGAUAUCUGGAGGAAUACCGGUGGCGAAGGCGGCAUCCUGGACCGGCAUUGACGCUGAAGCGCGAAAGCUAGGGGAGCAAACGGG